CAACUGAAGAGUUUGAUCCUGGCUCAGAGUGAACGCUGGCGGCAGGCCUAACACAUGCAAGUCGAGCGGCAGCACGGGGGCAACC
RNAcentral lists this ribosomal RNA (85 nucleotides) under Rhodanobacter sp. RNAcentral describes it as "partial 16S ribosomal RNA". It matches the Rfam family "Bacterial small subunit ribosomal RNA", at positions 1 to 84 of the family's 1533-position model. The record is from RNAcentral. Lineage: Bacteria; Pseudomonadati; Pseudomonadota; Gammaproteobacteria; Lysobacterales; Rhodanobacteraceae.